GCUAGGACGAACGCUGGCGGCGUGCUUCAUACAUGCAAGUCGAACGAGAAAUUACCUUCGGGUAAUGGAAAGUGGCGGACGGGUGAGUAAUAUGUAGAGAAUCUGCCUCAAGCGGGGGAUAGCAGUUGGAAACGACUAUUAAUACCCUAUAUGAGCGUAACUGAAAUGUUAUUCUUGAAAACUCCGGUGCUUGGAGAUGAGUCUGCAUCUGAUUAGCUAGUUGGGGGUGUAAUGGACCACCAAGGCGACGAUCAGUAGCUGGUUUGAGAGGAUGAUCAGCCACAAUGGGACUGAGACACGGCCCAUACUCCUACGGGAGGCAGCAGUAGGGAAUUUUGCGCAAUGGGCGAAAGCCUGACGCAGCCAACGCCGCGUGAUCGAGACGCUUUUCGGAGUGUAAAGAUCUGUCACAGGGGACGAACGAUGACGGUACCCUGAGAGGAAGCACCGGCUAACUCCGUGCCAGCCGCAGC
This 473-nucleotide ribosomal RNA is filed under the name uncultured bacterium. Its description in RNAcentral is "bacterial SSU rRNA". It matches the Rfam family "Bacterial small subunit ribosomal RNA", at positions 26 to 518 of the family's 1533-position model. The record is from RNAcentral.